This 402-nucleotide ribosomal RNA is filed under the name Scyllarus chacei. RNAcentral describes it as "partial 12S ribosomal RNA". The record is from RNAcentral. Lineage: Eukaryota; Metazoa; Arthropoda; Malacostraca; Decapoda; Scyllaridae.
GAAACCAGGAUAGAUACCCUGUUAUACUAGAUUUAAAUAAGAUUAACCUCGAGUAGUAAUAAUUAAUUAGUUUGAAAUUCAAAGAAUUUGGCGGUGUUUUAGUCUAGUUAGAGGAACCUGUUUUGUAAACGAUACUCCACGUAAUAUCUUUCUUAUCUUGGUUAUAAUUAGUAUACCAUCAUUAUUAGAUAAUUCUAUUCGUUAAAAGAAUUAUUAAAACUGGAUUUACUUCAAGUAUAUUAGAUCAUGGUGCUGUUAAUAGGUAAGUUUUAAUGGGUUACAAUAAAAUUAAUUUACUACGGAAAUACAGCUGAAAUGCUGUAGUAAAGGAGGAUUUAAUAGUAAUAAAAAUUCAGUAUGGUUUUAUGAGAUUAGCUCUAGAAUGUGUACAUAUCGGCCGUC